AUAUUCUUUCACAGGCAAGCAAGGACCCAGGGCUGUGCUCAAGCUGGGCUACAAGGGCUGGACCAGGGUCUGGGGUUGGGCAUAGGUUGGGCUGACUUGCAGUUGCUGGCCUUGGAGAAAGGAGAAGCAAAGCCACUGUGAUUGGAGGAAGGAGAUUCAGGAAGCAAGGACAGCUCUUAGUGUCAGUUCCAAUGGUUGGGUAUGAGAAAGAGGGAGUAAAAACUGGGGCUUCAAGAAGGCAGGGACUAUAGUUGUAUUUCCUCCCAGUGUAUUCACAGUGCAUCUGGUUCACCAAAGACUCUCAAGGUGACUUCAUCCAUGGCGGCUGUGUGGCAGCGAGCUACUUGCGCAUCUCUUCUGUUCCGUGAGGUCAUGUUGGCAGCUUGAAAUUGAUCAAGUGGGAAGCAUUUACAUCACAGAAAUUGAUGUUUAAAGGAGAUGAUAAAAAUGCUGCAACCCAGAUAAUGAUCACCUUACUCUUCAAAAAUACUGCCCAAGUUCUUUGUUCAAGAUGCCAAGAACCUGGAUACCCUCCACUGGUAACAAAUAUGACUUUGUUUUUAGCAAGCAACUUUGCAGUGUAAUUAAGUUAAGGAUCUUGAGAUGAGAUCAUCUUGGAAUAUCUGGGUGGGCCCUAAAUCCAAUGACAAGUGUCCUCAUAGGAAGGGAAGAUACACACAGAGGAGAAGGUGGUGUGAAGAUGGAAGCCAAGACUGUUGAUACCAGUUGGAGAGCACCAAGAACUACCCGCAGCCACUGAAAGCUAGGAGAGAGGCAUAGGACUGUCUCCUUCAGACCCUCCAGAAAGACCAAACCUGCCCGUGCCUUGAUUUCAGACUUUUGGCCUCCCACAUUGUGAGAGAAUAAAAUUUUGUUUUUGAAGCCAU
This 887-nucleotide long non-coding RNA is filed under the name Homo sapiens (human). Its description in RNAcentral is "non-protein coding NFIA-AS2:9". Lineage: Eukaryota; Metazoa; Chordata; Mammalia; Primates; Hominidae. The record is from RNAcentral.